UACAAAGGUCUCAAGCGUUGUUCGGAUUCAUUGGGCGUAAAGGGUGCGUAGGCGGCGCGGUAAGUCGGGUGUGAAAUCUCGGAGCUUAACUCCGAAACUGCAUUCGAUACUGCCGUGCUUGAGGACUGGAGAGGAGACUGGAAUUUACGGUGUAGCGGUGAAAUGCGUAGAUAUCGUAAGGAAGACCAGUGGCGAAGGCGGGUCUCUGGACAGUUCCUGACGCUGAGGCACGAAGGCCAGGGGAGCAAACGGG
RNAcentral lists this ribosomal RNA (253 nucleotides) under uncultured bacterium. Its description in RNAcentral is "partial 16S ribosomal RNA". It matches the Rfam family "Bacterial small subunit ribosomal RNA", at positions 524 to 776 of the family's 1533-position model. The record is from RNAcentral.